AUUGAACGCUGGCGGAAUGCUUUACACAUGCAAGUCGAACGGCAGCACGGGGGCGAACCCUCGUGGCGAGUGGCGAACGGGUGAGUAAUACAUCGGAACGUGCCCACGUCGUGGGGGAGUAACGUAGCGAAAGCUACGCUAAUACCGCAUACGAACUCUGGUUGAAAGCGGGGGAGUCGCAAGACCUCGCGCGAUUGGAGCGGCCGAUGGCAGAUUAGGUAGUUGGUGGGGUAAAGGCCACCAAGCCGACGAUCUGUAGCUGGUCUGAGAGGACGACCAGCCACAC
RNAcentral lists this ribosomal RNA (286 nucleotides) under uncultured bacterium. RNAcentral describes it as "partial 16S ribosomal RNA". It matches the Rfam family "Bacterial small subunit ribosomal RNA", at positions 30 to 313 of the family's 1533-position model. The record is from RNAcentral.